GUUCUGUGUUAAAUGCAAUGGAAAUAUAUGUCUUGUAUGUAUAUUUAUGCUUUGAUUUGCACAAAAAGCAUAUCUUUCCAUGGCGUUUAACACAGGUGUGGCAAGCUUUUGUGAUGUGAGUGUGCGUUGUUACGUUACUGCCCUACUGAAAAAAACAGCAUAUGCUGGUUUUGAACCUGGGAUGCUAGUACAAGCUGGUCCUUUGCUGGUUCAAGCUGGUCCGUUGCUGACUUACGCUGGACUUUUGACCAUCUUAGGACCAGCACAUGACCAGCAAAGGACCACCUUAAACCAGUUCAAACUAGCAUCCCAGUUUCAAAACGUACCUACCUAGCAUAUAGUAUUUUUGGCAUAUUUAUUUUUUUUUUUUUUAAGUGUUUGAUUUUCCUUUUUGUACUCGCUCUUUUACAUGCGUUUGAGAAGAGUAUGCUCUGCAAACAACUAUAAAGGCUCAUGGAACAAUCACUGUUUGCCCUGAUUUUUUUUCAUUCAGCCGAUGUCUGCCUAAUGUUUCAGUUCCGCGAUUUUAAAAAGGAAAGUGAAUGUUUUGAUGUAGUAAUAAAAUUGUUCUCAAAUUGGCCUUUUAGUUUGAGCUGCUCUCUGGACUCAAAAUCUAAUUAUUAACCCCAAAUUUCUGUGGGACAAUUGCCCUAAUGAUUCUGUUUUUUUGUGAUUAUUAACUAGCCUUUGUGAUGGUUUACCGCUAACAGAAUUAGUUUGUUUUGAGUGCUGGGAAAUUGAUUUUCUUUAUUUGUCUUUAUGUUAAACGUUAACCAUUGAAGUAAAAUCCUCCUGCUGACUCCACUGUAAAAAGUCCCCCUUUCCAUUUGUGUGUUUGUUUUUUUUUUUGUAGUUUUUUUUAAAUGUCAUCUUAACUUGUAAUGAACAGCAUGGAAUGUAAGCAGUGGUUGAAACAGAUAGUCCUCUUCUCGCAGAGUCAGAGUUUCAAAGUCGCUGAAAUGAUCUUGCUACAUUCUAAUGCUGCCUUCACUUGGCUUUGUGAAGUAUCAAUACAAAGUCAUGCAGAAAAGCUCAAAAACAUUAAAG
Puntigrus tetrazona (Sumatra barb) is the source of this 1047-nucleotide long non-coding RNA. RefSeq lists it as uncharacterized. Lineage: Eukaryota; Metazoa; Chordata; Actinopteri; Cypriniformes; Cyprinidae. The transcript has 2 exons. The record is from RefSeq and is a predicted model, not a curated record.